AACGAACGCUGGCGGCGCGCCUAACACAUGCAAGUCGAACGGGGUUAUAGCAUGAAACCUGCUUCGGUAGGUGGAGCGUUAUAACUUAGUGGCGGACGGGUGAGUAACACAUAGGUAACCAACCCUUAGGAUUGGGAUACUCCCGGGAAACCGGGCACAAUACCGGAUAUGAUUCCAGGGUGAAAUGCCCAGGGAUAAAAGCUGCGAGCAAUCGUGGCACCUAAGGACGGGCCUGUGGCCUAUCAGCUAGUUGGUGAGGUAAAGGCUCACCAAGGCGAAGACGGGUAGCCGGACUGAGAGGUUGAACGGCCACACUGGAACUGAGACACGGUCCAGACUCCUNACGGGAGGCAGCAGUGGGGAAUUUUGCGCAAUGGGCGAAAGCCUGACGCAGCGACGCCGCGUGGGGGAAGAAGGCCUUUGGGUUGUAAACUCCUUUCGUGAGGGAAAAAGUCCCGAGCAAUCGGGAUGAUGGUACCUCAGGAAGAAGCCACGCUAACU
This 501-nucleotide ribosomal RNA is filed under the name uncultured bacterium. RNAcentral describes it as "bacterial SSU rRNA". It matches the Rfam family "Bacterial small subunit ribosomal RNA", at positions 29 to 502 of the family's 1533-position model. The record is from RNAcentral.